ACUGUGCACCUGCUCCCCAUGUAGGACCUCUGUCCUUAAUGUGUUGUACUAUGCGAAUUAACGGUAAAACUAGUAUUCAAACAGUACUUUAUACUUUGUGUGUCUUUGAGGGUGCAGUCUGUUGAAAUCUUUACUAAUUCUAGGCUUGGAAGAUCACCACAAGGUGUGGAGAGUAGCGUCUCACCAGUGCAGAGCUGUUACAGAGGUGGCAGAGGAUCUGAAUCAUGCCCCUGCCACGUUAAAGGCAAGGAAAGUAUAUCUCUGAUGGGGCAAACCUCAGGCCUCCUUGCAUGGAGGAAGGCCGGGAGUUGGGAGUCCUGAGAAAUCUGGUAAACCUUAGUGAGGCUCCAGAAUCCAGGACCCCAGGCUUUGGAAGACGUCUGAGGAAAUAAAACUGAGAAGGUGCCCAACCUGAAGGCAAGACACAAAGAAGUCACAAGUCUCAACUGGCUUCAGAAAGGGUUAGCCAUUUCUUCGGAAGUAUGCAACGAUUGCCUACAAUGUAAAUCACAGGAGACAGUGAGACCUCAUCCUGGAACUAGUGAAUUUCCUAUCCACGUCUGUAAGCAACUUGAACUCUGCAUUCUAAACAGUCUACAACAGUGCCUGGCAGAAACUGAACUGAACCAAACUGAACUGGGACUGAACCAAGUGAAUUGAAAGGAAUCAAUCCCUUCAAGAAGAGGAAUAUUGCUAAGGUUUGGAAGAGAGGUGAAAUGAAUAUAAAUGAAACCAUUACUUAUUCUGAAUACAAAAUAUUAUAG
Molecule: non-coding RNA, 764 nt
Organism: Oryctolagus cuniculus (rabbit)
Lineage: Eukaryota; Metazoa; Chordata; Mammalia; Lagomorpha; Leporidae
Source: RefSeq, a predicted model, not a curated record